GUCAAUGGUUCUCUAUGGGCUUUCAGAGUGAGUGGCGGGAAGGCGGCCCCGAGGCAUGCUGGGAGUUGUAGUCCUGCCGUAGUCAAUGGUUCUCUAUGGGCUUUCAGAGUGAGUGGCGGGAAGGCGGCCCCGAGGCAUGCUGGGAGUUGCAGCGCCAUGUUUUAAAGCACGCGUUUCUCUGUAUAGUCCUGGCUGUGGGUUUUUCACUAAUUAUUUCUUUUAGCUUUAUUUUUAAUUUUUACUUUUUCACACAGGAUUUCUCUUUAGAGCCUUGGCUACCGUUUUUUCCCUAAUUAUUCUUAUUUUCAUUUUGGUUUAUUUUUUUUUAAUUUUGGUUUUUUUAAGACAGGGUUUCUCUGUAUAGACCUGGCUGUGGAUUUUUCACUAAUUAUUUUUUUUGUUUUAUUUUUAAUUUUUACUUUUCCAGACAGGAUUUCUCUUUAUAGCCUUGGCUACCGUUUUUUCCGUAAUUAUUCUCCUUUUCAUUUUUGUUUAUUUUUUAAUUUUAAUUUUUGAUUUUGGAGACAGGGUUUCUCUUUUAGCCGCAGCUAUGGUUUCUGCCCUAAUUAUUCUUGUCCUUAUUUGUAAUUUAAUUCUUAAUUUAAUUUAAUUUAUAAAUUUUGUUGUAAGUUUUUCUGUGGGCGUGAAUGGAAAGUCUAACCCGUGUUUCUCUGUUCAGCCUCCGCCGGUCACGGCCGCCGCCCCCAGCGACGUCACCCACACGCGCAGAAGCGGACGCCGCGGUCAAGAUGUCUCUGCCAUGCCCACGGGACGCACGGACGCACGGACGCACGGACGGACUCCACAAGGUAGGAAGCCUGCGCCGAGCGCACCGCCGCACCCACCACAGCACACAGGACACACGCGGGCCCCGCGCCCGCCCAGGCACACGCGGCACACACGGCACACACGGCAGGCAGGCCAGGCACACGCAUCCGCAGGACCCGCACCCGCCACGCAGACACGGACGAGCCGCCGCGGUCAAGAUGUUCACCCGCCGCGGUCAAGAUGUAUGUGCCACCGACCCUCGCCCCGCUGGACGGACGGACGGACGCGCGCACGCCGUCAGUGAUGUCACCCACGAAAGCACACACGUAGAAGCGGACGCCGUGGUCAAGAUGUCUCUGCCAUCCCCACAGGACGGACGGACGGACUCCACAAGG
Molecule: long non-coding RNA, 1163 nt
Filed under: Mus musculus (house mouse)
Lineage: Eukaryota; Metazoa; Chordata; Mammalia; Rodentia; Muridae
Description: erythroid differentiation regulator 1 x
Source: RNAcentral